GUCACUCAGACGAGGUGUUUGUUACUGAUAUAGUUAUAAGCUUUAUACUUGCGGGGCGUGACACAACUUCAGCAGCACUGACAUGGUUCUUUUAUCUCAUUGCAAAUCAUCCGGAGGCGGAGAGUAAGAUUUUAGCUGAGAUUAAUGACAAGAAUUUUGAGAAGAACUCAGAGUCUUCUGCUUAUAAUGAAGUGAAAGACAUGAUAUACACUCAUGCUGCACUUUGUGAGAGCAUGAGACUCUACCCGCCUGUUCCCACAGAUGGAAAACAAGCAAUGGAGGAUGAUGUGUUGCCGGAUGGAACACGUAUUUACAAGUAUGACAGAGUAUCUUACCAUCCUUACGCAAUGGGGCGGUCAGAGAAGCUAUGGGGGUCAGAUUGGCAAGAAUUUAGGCCUGAGAGGUGGCUUGAGAAGGAUAGCGUGACUGGAAAGUGGUGCUUUAUUGGCCGAGAUCAGUAUACUUAUCCUGUUUUUCAAGCAGGGCCAAGGGUGUGUCUUGGUAAAGAAAUGGCUUUCUUGCAAAUGAAGAGGGUGGUUGCUGGAGUUCUGCCGGCAUUCAGGGUGAUUCCGGUGAUUGAGAAAGGGAAGGAACCGGUUUAUAUAUCUUUCCUGACAGCAAAAAUGCAAGGGGGUUUUCCGGUGAGGAUUCAGAAGAGGAUUUUCUAAUACUAAACUUGAUCCGAACAAUGUAUUACCUUUGUUUUCUCUGUAGUUGUUAUCAUUAUUGGAAUGUUUAAUGUUUAAUGUAUCAUAAUCCUAAUAAAUGUGUUGUAAUUUUAUAAAACUAGCAUAAUCCUUAUAAAUGUGCUGUCCCUCUCACUCUACUGUUGUUAAUUUCACAAACCAUGAUGUGCGGAACUUAUUUUACAGUGUCUGUUUCUAGAAUGGUGAUGCUAUGCAUUCUUAAACGAUUUACAGCAUCUUCGUUCUUCAAACGAUUGCAAGGAGCUUCUUGUUUGUCGAAUGACUUAAAUGGUUUUCCUAAAUUUUAUUUGAUGUUCUGAACAUUGAAAGGAUGUGCACUAUGGUAGCUCUGUCAGCGUAGAAAUACAAUUUCACUCCAUCGAAGAAAUAUCGGGACCAUUUAGAUUAUGAUUAGAAUGAAAAUGAGAGGUACGAGAAUAAGAAUAAAUGAAAAUGAUACUAUAAAAUCUUAAAUAUGGUUAAAGAAUGAUUCAGAGAAUGAGACUUCACAUAUGAGUUUCAAUUCUCUUUAAUCAUACGUUUUCUUAAUCUGUCUUAAGGAGUAUCAUAAAACAAAAAAAAAUGGCCGUUUGAUAAAAAUGUUCAUCUUAUCAUAUAAUAUUGCAGUUCAAAUGAAGAAAUUAUUAACAUUUAUGUAGGGCCGAUCCUUGGAUAUUUAAAAUCUCAAGAAAAAAAAAAUGUUUCAUAAUAUUGGAAAAAAGCGUAAAAUCAAUAAUAUUUAUAUCACCUCAAACAAAUGAAAAAAAAUAUUCUAACAAAUCAAUAUUUUAGCAAAGGGAACAAUAGUAGAUAUAGAAUAUUAUAGAAUCAUCUUUAAUUAAUUAUUCUUAAAAAAAUUACAUUUACUUAUUUUUAAAAAUAAGGUGAACCAAUCACGGGGAUAUAGAUCAAGGAUGUGAGGGACCUGCUACAAUAUGUAUAUUUAAACGUGUUCUGUUUUUUAUCUGGCAUUUGACUCGUAAGAAGUAUAAUAUGACUUGUGUGCCGUAUCGCUGGUGCAGGUCUGGUCUUCGAACCUUUUUCGUGCCUGCUUCUUUCAUAAUGAGAUGUUCUGAGCUUCUUCGAAUCUGCUUCUUUCACACUAAAAGAUUCUUCAUUGAAUAGUAAGAUUAAAACACACCUCACUUGCUUACAUUAUCAAUACAUCAUCUGAUAGCACCUGCAACUUCACUGCUCUAUAAAUAUCGGCUGCAGAGCCAAACAUAACCACUCAUCUUCUAAAUAUCACAAAUAUUUCAUCACCAUGUUAGCUGAUCUAAAUCUCUCCACUUCACUGUUAUAUUGCCUCGCAACAUUUCUCACCUUAUAUGCAAUCACAAACUUCAACUCCAUUCGCAGAGGCCUGUUCCCUUCGAAACAAAGCAAGCUCCCCAGAUCAUUUCCGCUCAUUGGAUCAUACUUAUCACUUAUCAAACACAUUCAUCAUUUCAGCGAUUGGUCUGCAACUAUAGUGAAUUCUCAGCCCUCUUCGACGUUUAUUCUCCACCGCGCUCUAGGCCAACGCAUGGUCAUUACUGCGAAUCCAGCUAACGUGGAGCACAUACUUAAAACCAAUUUUCAUGUCUAUCAGAAGGGCACUUCUGUGACAGCGCUGGCCUAUGAUUUUCUAGGACGUGGCAUUUUUAACGUCGAUGGAGAUUGGUGGAAGUUUCAGAGGCAAGUUGCUAGCCAUGAAUUCAAGACUAAAUCUUUAAGGAAUUUUGUGGAGACGGUGGUUGAUACGGAGCUUUCAAACCGCCUUCUGCCCCUCAUGAAAAACGCGGCUGUGGAAGAAAUUGUUCUUGAUUUUCAGGACAUACUUUUCAGAUUUGCUUUUGACAACAUUUGUAACAUCGCUUUUGGCUAUGAUCCUGAGUAUCUAUUGCCUUCUCUGCCUGAGGCGAAAUUCGCUGUUGCAUUUGAGAACACUACAAUGCUUAUUACCAAAAGGUUUAGGCAAAUUUCACCGUUAGUUUGGAAGAUUCUAAAGUUUUUCAACACGGGGUUUGAGAAAGAACUGAAAAAUUCUGUUGAAGAGGUUCGCGAGUUUGCUAGAAAAGUCUUGAGGGAGAAAAAGAAAGAACUAGACGAAAAAUCAGAGUUACAAACUGAUGAUCUUUUAUCAAGAUUCUUGAGCUCCGGUCACUCAGACGAGGUGUUUGUUAUAGAUAUUGUCAUAAGUUUCAUACUUGCUGGCCGUGACACGACUUCAGCAGCACUGACAUGGUUCUUUUAUCUCAUUGCAAAUCAUCCGGACGCAGAGAGCAAGAUUUUAGCUGAGAUUAAUGACAAGAAUUUUGAGAAGAACUCGGAGUCUUCUGCUUAUAAUGAAGUGAAAGACAUGAUGUACACUCAUGCGGCACUUUGUGAGAGUAUGAGACUUUAUCCGCCUGUUCCAACAGACGGAAAACAAGUGAUGG
Molecule: long non-coding RNA, 3106 nt
Filed under: Daucus carota (carrot)
Lineage: Eukaryota; Viridiplantae; Streptophyta; Magnoliopsida; Apiales; Apiaceae
Description: long non-coding RNA (DCAR_LNC003796)
Source: RNAcentral